This 751-nucleotide ribosomal RNA is filed under the name uncultured bacterium. RNAcentral describes it as "bacterial SSU rRNA". It matches the Rfam family "Bacterial small subunit ribosomal RNA", at positions 8 to 755 of the family's 1533-position model. The record is from RNAcentral.
AGAGUUUGAUCAUGGCUCAGAUUGAACGCUGGCGGCAUGCCUUACACAUGCAAGUCGAACGGUAACAGGUCUUCGGACGCUGACGAGUGGCGAACGGGUGAGUAAUACAUCGGAACGUGCCCAGUCGUGGGGGAUAACUACUCGAAAGAGUAGCUAAUACCGCAUACGAUCUGAGGAUGAAAGCGGGGGACCUUCGGGCCUCGCGCGAUUGGAGCGGCCGAUGGCAGAUUAGGUAGUUGGUGGGAUAAAAGCUUACCAAGCCGACGAUCUGUAGCUGGUCUGAGAGGACGACCAGCCACACUGGGACUGAGACACGGCCCAGACUCCUACGGGAGGCAGCAGUGGGGAAUUUUGGACAAUGGGCGAAAGCCUGAUCCAGCAAUGGCCGCGUGCAGGAUGAAGGCCUUCGGGUUGUAAACUGCUUUUGUACGGAACGAAAAAGCUCCUUCUAAUACAGGGGGCCCAUGACGGUACCGUAAGAAUAAGCACCGGCUAACUACGUGCCAGCAGCCGCGGUAAUACGUAGGGUGCGAGCGUUAAUCGGAAUUACUGGGCGUAAAGCGUGCGCAGGCGGUUAUGUAAGACAGAUGUGAAAUCCCCGGGCUCAACCUGGGAACUGCAUUUGUGACUGCAUGGCUAGAGUACGGUAGAGGGGGAUGGAAUUCCGCGUGUAGCAGUGAAAUGCGUAGAUAUGCGGAGGAACACCGAUGGCGAAGGCAAUCCCCUGGACCUGUACUGACGCUCAUGCACG